This 118-nucleotide ribosomal RNA is filed under the name Scophthalmus maximus (turbot). Lineage: Eukaryota; Metazoa; Chordata; Actinopteri; Pleuronectiformes; Scophthalmidae. The record is from RNAcentral.
GCUUACGGCCACACCGCCCUGGUUAGCCGAUCUCGUUUGAUCUCGGAAGCUAAGAUAGGUUGGGCCUGGUUAGUACUUUGAUGGGGAGACCGCCUGGGAAUACCAGGUGCUGUAAGCU